UCUGUGCUCAUACAGCUUUGGAAAUUUGAAG
Molecule: non-coding RNA, 31 nt
Filed under: Rattus norvegicus (Norway rat)
Lineage: Eukaryota; Metazoa; Chordata; Mammalia; Rodentia; Muridae
Source: RNAcentral